RNAcentral lists this ribosomal RNA (256 nucleotides) under uncultured bacterium. RNAcentral describes it as "partial 16S ribosomal RNA". It matches the Rfam family "Bacterial small subunit ribosomal RNA", at positions 524 to 776 of the family's 1533-position model. The record is from RNAcentral.
GACGUAGGUGGCGAACGUUAUCCGGAAUUAUUGGGCGUAAAGGGUGCGUAGAUGGUUUAAUAAGUUAGCGGUGGUAAAUCGAGGCUCAACCUCGUGGAAGCUGGUAAUACUGUUAGGCUUGAGUGCAGAAGAGGUUAAUGGAACUCCAUGUGGAGCGGUAAAAUGCAUAGAUAUAUGGAAGAACAUCAAUAACGGCGAAGGCAAUUAACUAUUCUGCUACUGACAUUGAGGCACGAAAGCGUGGGGAGCAAAACGG